RNAcentral lists this transfer RNA (67 nucleotides) under Rhynchothorax sp. JZ-2022. RNAcentral's name for it is "tRNA-Phe". It matches the Rfam family "tRNA". From Rfam's summary of the family: Transfer RNA (tRNA) molecules are approximately 80 nucleotides in length. Their secondary structure includes four short double-helical elements and three loops (D, anti-codon, and T loops). Lineage: Eukaryota; Metazoa; Arthropoda; Pycnogonida; Pantopoda; Tanystylidae. The record is from RNAcentral.
GUUUAUAUAGCUUAAAUCUAUAAGAGCAUAGCAUUGAAGAUGCUAAGGUAAAAUACUUUUAUAAACG